This 253-nucleotide ribosomal RNA is filed under the name uncultured bacterium. RNAcentral describes it as "partial 16S ribosomal RNA". It matches the Rfam family "Bacterial small subunit ribosomal RNA", at positions 524 to 776 of the family's 1533-position model. The record is from RNAcentral.
UACGUAGGGGGCAAGCGUUGUCCGGAAUUAUUGGGCGUAAAGAGCGCGUAGGCGGUCCGAUAAGUCGGCUGUGAAAGUCAGGGGCUCAACCCUUGAAAGCCGGCCGAUACUGUCGGACUAGAGUUCGGAAGAGGCAAGUGGAAUUCCCGGUGUAGCGGUGGAAUGCGCAGAUAUCAGGAGGAACACCAAUAGCGAAGGCAGCUCGCUGGGACGUUACUGACACUGAGGCGCGAAAGCGUGGGGAGCGAACAGG